GGCGUGCUUAACACAUGCAAGUCGAACGGAAAGGCCCUGCUUUUGUGGGGUGCUCGAGUGGCGAACGGGUGAGUAACACGUGAGUAACCUGCCCUUGACUUUGGGAUAACUUCAGGAAACUGGGGCUAAUACCGGAUAGGAGCUCCUGCUGCAUGGUGGGGGUUGGAAAGUUUCGGCGGUUGGGGAUGGACUCGCGGCUUAUCAGCUUGUUGGUGGGGUAGUGGCUUACCAAGGCUUUGACGGGUAGCCGGCCUGAGAGGGUGACCGGCCACAUUGGGACUGAGAUACGGCCCAGACUCCUACGGGAGGCAGCAGUGGGGAAUAUUGCACAAUGGGCGGAAGCCUGAUGCAGCAACGCCGCGUGCGGGAUGACGGCCUUCGGGUUGUAAACCGCUUUCGCCUGUGACGAAGCGUGAGUGACGGUAAUGGGUAAAGAAGCACCGGCUAACUACGUGCCAGCAGCCGCGGUGAUACGUAGGGUGCGAGCGUUGUCCGGAUUUAUUGGGCGUAAAGGGCUCGUAGGUGGUUGAUCGCGUCGGAAGUGUAAUCUUGGGGCUUAACCCUGAGCGUGCUUUCGAUACGGGUUGACUUGAGGAAGGUAGGGGAGAAUGGAAUUCCUGGUGGAGCGGUGGAAUGCGCAGAUAUCAGGAGGAACACCAGUGGCGAAGGCGGUUCUCUGGGCCUUUCCUGACGCUGAGGAGCGAAAGCGUGGGGAGCGAACAGGCUUAGAUACCCUGGUAGUCCACGCUGUAAACGGUGGGUACUAGGUGUGGGGUCCAUUCCACGGGUUCCGUGCCGUAGCUAACGCUUUAAGUACCCCGCCUGGGGAGUACGGCCGCAAGGCUAAAACUCAAAGGAAUUGACGGGGCCCCGCACAAGCGGCGGAGCAUGCGGAUUAAUUCGAUGCAACGCGUAGAACCUUACCUGGGUUUGACAUGGAUCGGGAGCGCUCAGAGAUGGGUGUGCCUCUUUUGGGGUCGGUUCACAGGUGGUGCAUGGCUGUCGUCAGCUCGUGUCGUGAGAUGUUGGGUUAAGUCCCGCAACGAGCGCAACCCUUGUUCACUGUUGCCAGCACGUUAUGGUGGGGACUCAGUGGAGACCGCCGGGGUCAACUCGGAGGAAGGUGGGGAUGACGUCAAGUCAUCAUGCCCCUUAUGUCCAGGGCUUCACGCAUGCUACAAUGGCUGGUACAGAGAGUGGCGAGCCUGUGAGGGUGAGCGAAUCUCGGAAAGCCGGUCUCAGUUCGGAUUGGGGUCUGCAACUCGACCUCAUGAAGUCGGAGUCGCUAGUAAUCGCAGAUCAGCAACGCUGCGGUGAAUACGUUCCCGGGGCUUGUACACACCGCCCGUCAAGUCAUGAAAGUUGGUAACACCCGAAGCCGGUGGCCUAACCGUUGUGGGGGAGCCGUCGAAGGUGGGACUGGUGAUUAGGACUAAGUCGU
This 1441-nucleotide ribosomal RNA is filed under the name uncultured organism. RNAcentral's name for it is "SSU rRNA". It matches the Rfam family "Bacterial small subunit ribosomal RNA". The record is from RNAcentral.